Molecule: ribosomal RNA, 439 nt
Filed under: uncultured bacterium
Lineage: Bacteria
Description: partial 16S ribosomal RNA
Rfam family: Bacterial small subunit ribosomal RNA
Source: RNAcentral
CCUACGGGUGGCAGCAGUGGGGGAUAUUGCACAAUGGGGGAAACCCUGAUGCAGCAACGCCGCGUGUGGGAAGAAGGUUUUCGGAUUGUAAACCACUGUUCUUGGUGAAGAUAAUGACGGUAACCAAGGAGAAAGCUCCGGCUAACUACGUGCCAGCAGCCGCGGUAAUACGUAGGGAGCAAGCGUUGUCCGGAUUUACUGGGUUUAAAGGGUGCGCAGGCGGUCUGUUAAGUCAGCGGUCAAAGCCCGGGGCUCAACCCCGGCCCGCCGUUGAAACUGGCAGUCUCGAGUUGGAGAGAAGUAUGCGGAAUGCGCGGUGUAGCGGUGAAAUGCAUAGAUAUCGCGCAGAACUCCGAUUGCGAAGGCAGCAUGCCGGCUCCACACUGACGCUGAGGCACGAAAGCGUGGGUAUCGAACAGGAUUAGAUACCCGGGUAGUC